UAGGUGAAGUGGUUUACCCAUGGAGCUGAAGCCAGUCGCAGAUACCAGCUGGCUGCAACUGUUUAUUAAAAACACAGCACUGUGCAAACACGAAAGUGGACGUAUACGGUGUGACGCCUGCCCGGUGCUGGAAGGUUAAUUGAUGGGGUUAUCCGUAAGGAGAAGCUCUUGAUCGAAGCCCCAGUAAACGGCGGCCGUAACUAUAACGGUCCUAAGGUAGCGAAAUUCCUUGUCGGGUAAGUUCCGACCUGCACGAAUGGCGUAAUGAUGGCCAGGCUGUCUCCACCCGAGACUCAGUGAAAUUGAACUCGCUGUGAAGAUGCAGUGUACCCGCGGCAAGACGGAAAGACCCCGUGAACCUUUACUAUAGCUUGACACUGAACAUUGAGCCUUGAUGUGUAGGAUAGGUGGGAGGCUUUGAAGUGUGGACGCCAGUCUGCAUGGAGCCAACCUUGAAAUACCACCCUUUAAUGUUUGAUGUUCUAACGUUGCCCCAUAAUCUGGGGUGCGGACAGUGUCUGGUGGGUAGUUUGACUGGGGCGGUCUCCUCCCAAAGCGUAACGGAGGAGCACGAAGGUUGGCUAAGCAUGGUCGGACAUCAUGCGGUUAGUGCAAAGGCAUAAGCCAGCUUGACUGCGAGAGUGACGGCUCGAGCAGGUACGAAAGUAGGUCUUAGUGAUCCGGUGGUUCUGAAUGGAAGGGCCAUCGCUCAACGGAUAAAAGGUACUCCGGGGAUAACAGGCUGAUACCGCCCAAGAGUUCAUAUCGACGGCGGUGUUUGGCACCUCGAUGUCGGCUCAUCACAUCCUGGGGCUGAAGUAGGUCCCAAGGGUAUGGCUGUUCGCCAUUUAAAGUGGUACGCGAGCUGGGUUUAGAACGUCGUGAGACAGUUCGGUCCCUAUCUGCCGUGGGCGUUGGAAGAUUGAAAGGGGCUGCUCCUAGUACGAGAGGACCGGAGUGGACGCACCGCUGGUGUUCGGGUUGUCAUGCCAAUGGCACUGCCCGGUAGCUAAGUGCGGAAGAGAUAACCGCUGAAAGCAUCUAAGCGGGAAACUUGCCUUGAGAUGAGUCUUCCCUGACUCUUUAAGGGUCCUAAAGGAACGUUUAAGACGAAGACGUUGAUAGGCUGGGUGUGUAAGCGUAGCGAUACGUUGAGCUAACCAGUACUAAUGAACCGUGAGGCUUAACCUG
RNAcentral lists this ribosomal RNA (1191 nucleotides) under Providencia stuartii. Its description in RNAcentral is "partial 23S ribosomal RNA". It matches the Rfam family "Bacterial large subunit ribosomal RNA", at positions 1743 to 2925 of the family's 2925-position model. Lineage: Bacteria; Pseudomonadati; Pseudomonadota; Gammaproteobacteria; Enterobacterales; Morganellaceae. The record is from RNAcentral.